UUACGCUUGAAACAUUUGUAUUUUUAGGUAAGAAAUUUUGCGUUUCUCUGGAAACAAAAUGGUUGUAUUAAUGGUCUAUUAAAAAAUAGAUACGAGGAAAGGACAAAAACCGAUAAAGGUCGAUUAUACACGAUAGCAUUGCGAAGCGUACGAAACCCACCAGGAACGAGAUGAUGACAUCGCGGGGCUAUUAAAAAAAGCUCACGCUUCCUAAAUUCCGUAGAUUCGUGAGUGGCGAGUCAUGUGGCCACGCAGCGAUAUUUAGAUGUCGCGAAUAAUCGGUUGUUUUCCUACGAGGACGAUGACGGAUCUCGCGAGGGUGUCAGCGUGUAUUUUCGCCUCCGCGUUCGAACAUCGAGCACCGGCUUCGACCUCGUUCUUUUUGUUGCAUUAUUCGUAUGUGAGCGCAAGACAAAACGGGAACGAGCUAGGGAAUAGUCGUACAUCCAUCCUCAAGAUCCCAGGAACACGAUUCGGGAUUUAGUAGCUGGCCAAGCUGGCGCCGGAGCGGUGACCCGGCUCGAUGCGACCUUCCAAGGACGCAAAACACAUCCUCUUCUUUCUGCAUAUCGCGUGCAACAUUUCUUCUUCUCAAGCCUGUUUCUCUCCUGCAGCGUGGGUGCUGCAAGAUCGUAAACCACCGAUCGGGUUGCAUCACGUGACAAAAAUAGCUUUCUCCCCAAGAAGGGUCGUUCUCGAAUUAUUCGCGAAUUAUUACGACACGUUCGUUUACCAUACUAAUUAGAGCCCACUGCCGUUUUAACACGGACUCGAGGCAACAGUUGCGAUUCGUAUGGAAACGAAGUAGAAACACGCGAUGAUCGUUUAGUCGCAAUACGAUUGUCGAUGAAUUUUGGAGAAUAGAAUGUGUAAGGUAUGUACAUAUGUAUAAAAGGGGUACGAUGAUCAUCGACGAAGAUACGCAGUUCUCGAUACAGUGUGGGGUGCACACGCCGUAAAAGUCGCGUAGAUCGUACGAUCGCGCGGUGCUGGCGUGGCCGCAUUCCAGCUGGCGGAUUGGUCGAUCCCAUGCGUCAUAAAUCUACAUGAUGUUCCUGCCUUUUUCGCCCUUCGUAUAGCCCUUGGCAUACGUAACCUGCCGUGGCAACGUAUAUCGCGAUAUUUUUUUUUUUAUUUGCGAAUUCGGUCUUUUCGCCUCGUCCUUUCUUUUUUCUUCGACACGCCGCUCGACUACCCGAACAGAAUUCCACGACGUCCGAUCUCGGUUUUUCGAACUUAGAUCGGUUCCUUCGCUAUAUACGCGUUCCUGACUUUUCAAAGAUGUCGCGAGUUUGGCAAUCCUUUCCUUCUCUUUUUAAUCGUAAAAUAAGCGUGACCAUGACGUUGAAUUUUAAAGGAUUCCGGGUCGAGGAAUUCGACAGUUUCACGACCGGUUCGAUAAACUCCGCGAUGGCGACGCGUUUUUUGUCGCAAACCCGUUGCGCCAAGGCAGGGAUCACCUAAAAAGAUUUUUGUACCAGGUGCAUCCUGCGGCCGUGCAUGAGUCAUGGAUUACAUACAUCCAUGUACCUCUGUAAACCUGCAUUCUUUUCUGAACCGAAAUUCUGAUAAGUAAAGCUGUAUG
This is an RNA transcript of Bombus pyrosoma, 1585 nucleotides long. RefSeq lists it as uncharacterized. The record is from RefSeq and is a predicted model, not a curated record. Lineage: Eukaryota; Metazoa; Arthropoda; Insecta; Hymenoptera; Apidae. The transcript is spliced from 2 exons.